CUGAACCAGCCAAGUAGCGUGAAGGAUGACUGCCCUAUGGGUUGUAAACUUCUCUUAUAAAGGAAUAAAGUCGGGUAUGCAUACCCGUUUGCAUGUACUUUAUGAAUAAGGAUCGGCUAACUCCGUGCCAGCAGCCGCGGUAAUACGGAGGAUCCGAGCGUUAUCCGGAUUUAUUGGGUUUAAAGGGAGCGUAGAUGGAUGUUUAAGUCAGUUGUGAAAGUUUGCGG
RNAcentral lists this ribosomal RNA (227 nucleotides) under uncultured bacterium. RNAcentral describes it as "partial 16S ribosomal RNA". It matches the Rfam family "Bacterial small subunit ribosomal RNA", at positions 383 to 607 of the family's 1533-position model. The record is from RNAcentral. RNAcentral also lists the same sequence under 1 other name.